AAGACUAGACCUUUAGGGAUCACCUCUAGAGUUUGUUACUGGAGAGGUUUCUUUGAACAUUGUAGAGCACCAGAAACCACGAGGAAGAAGUGUAAAAAAAAAAACAGUCUUUUUUGAGAUGCUUACUAGCUAUCCAAGUAGU
This is a non-coding RNA of Myotis brandtii (Brandt's bat), 142 nucleotides long. NCBI's taxonomy places the organism in Eukaryota, Metazoa, Chordata, Mammalia, Chiroptera, Vespertilionidae. The record is from Rfam.